This 253-nucleotide ribosomal RNA is filed under the name uncultured bacterium. RNAcentral describes it as "partial 16S ribosomal RNA". It matches the Rfam family "Bacterial small subunit ribosomal RNA", at positions 524 to 776 of the family's 1533-position model. The record is from RNAcentral.
UACGGAGGGUGCAAGCGUUAUCCGGAUUCACUGGGUUUAAAGGGUGCGUAGGCGGACAGGUAAGUCAGUGGUGAAAUCUCUGGGCUUAACUCAGAAACUGCCGUUGAUACUAUUUGUCUUGAAUAUCAUGGAGGUAAGCGGAAUAUGUCAUGUAGCGGUGAAAUGCUUAGAUAUGACAUAGAACACCGAUAGCGAAGGCAGCUUACUACAUGGAGAUUGACGCUGAGGCACGAAAGCGUGGGGAGCAAACAGG